GUCCUAGCUGUAAACGGUGCACGUUUGCUGUAAGAGGAAUCGACCCCUUUUGUGGCGAAGCUAACGCGAUAAACGUGCCGCCUGGGGAGUACGGUCGCAAGAUUAAAACUCAAAGAAAUUGACGGGGGCCUGCACAAGCGGUGGAGUAUGUGGCUUAAUUCGAUGCAACGCGAAGAACCUUACCUGGCCUUUACAUGCACGUAGUAGGAGCGUGAAAGCGUAACGAACCCGCAAGGGUAGCGUGCACAGGUGCUGCAUGGCUGUCGU
RNAcentral lists this ribosomal RNA (267 nucleotides) under uncultured bacterium. RNAcentral's name for it is "partial 16S ribosomal RNA". It matches the Rfam family "Bacterial small subunit ribosomal RNA", at positions 793 to 1055 of the family's 1533-position model. The record is from RNAcentral.